RNAcentral lists this ribosomal RNA (497 nucleotides) under uncultured bacterium. Its description in RNAcentral is "partial 16S ribosomal RNA". It matches the Rfam family "Bacterial small subunit ribosomal RNA", at positions 28 to 507 of the family's 1533-position model. The record is from RNAcentral.
GAUGAACGCUGGCGGCGUGCCUAAUACAUGCAAGUCGAGCGAACAGACGAGGAGCUUGCUCCUCUGACGUUAGCGGCGGACGGGUGAGUAACACGUGGAUAACCUACCUAUAAGACUGGGAUAACUUCGGGAAACCGGAGCUAAUACCGGAUAAUAUAUUGAACCGCAGGGUUCAAUAGUGAAAGACGGUUUUGCUGUCACUUAUAGCUGGAUCCGCGCCGCAUUAGCUAGUUGGUAAGGUAACGGCUUACCAAGGCAACGAUGCGUAGCCGACCUGAGAGGGUGAUCGGCCACACUGGAACUGAGACACGGUCCAGACUCCUACGGGAGGCAGCAGUAGGGAAUCUUCCGCAAUGGGCGAAAGCCUGACGGAGCAACGCCGCGUGAGUGAUGAAGGUCUUCGGAUCGUAAAACUCUGUUAUUAGGGAAGAACAAAUGUGUAAGUAACUAUGCACGUCUUGACGGUACCUAAUCAGAAAGCCACGGCUAACUACGUG